Long non-coding RNA from Populus euphratica (Euphrates poplar), 118 nucleotides. RefSeq lists it as uncharacterized. The record is from RefSeq and is a predicted model, not a curated record. The transcript is spliced from 3 exons. NCBI's taxonomy places the organism in Eukaryota, Viridiplantae, Streptophyta, Magnoliopsida, Malpighiales, Salicaceae.
AUUGUUGUUGUUAAUUGAUUGUUUAGUUGAUUAUGGAAGAUUGUGAUGAUUUUGAGUUGUGAAUUGUGUAAAUGAUGAAUUUUGAGUUAGAAAUCUAGAAAGAACAGUAGAUUUUCUG